Molecule: ribosomal RNA, 427 nt
Filed under: uncultured Acidobacterium sp.
Lineage: Bacteria; Pseudomonadati; Acidobacteriota; Terriglobia; Terriglobales; Acidobacteriaceae
Description: bacterial SSU rRNA
Rfam family: Bacterial small subunit ribosomal RNA
Source: RNAcentral
AACGCGAAGAACCUUACCUGGGCUCGAAAUGUACAGGAAUCCGGUGGAAACAUCGGCGCCCCGCAAGGGGCCUGUAUAUAGGUGCUGCAUGGCUGUCGUCAGCUCGUGUCGUGAGAUGUUGGGUUAAGUCCCGCAACGAGCGCAACCCUUAUUACCAGUUGCUACCAUUUAGUUGAGCACUCUGGUGAGACUGCCUCGGAUAACGGGGAGGAAGGCGGGGAUGACGUCAAGUCCUCAUGGCCUUUAUGUCCAGGGCUACACACGUGCUACAAUGGUCGGUACAAACCGUCGCAAACCCGCGAGGGGGAGCUAAUCGGAAAAAGCCGGCCUCAGUCCGGAUUGGAGUCUGCAACUCGACUCCAUGAAGCUGGAAUCGCUAGUAAUCGCAGAUCAGAAUGCUGCGGUGAAUACGUUCCCGGGCCUUGUA